Molecule: long non-coding RNA, 1517 nt
Organism: Oncorhynchus nerka (sockeye salmon)
Lineage: Eukaryota; Metazoa; Chordata; Actinopteri; Salmoniformes; Salmonidae
Exons: 2
Source: RefSeq, a predicted model, not a curated record
AGUAACGUGAUUUACUGGACGACUGCUGUUAUGUAGAUAUUCAUAAAUGUACUAGAUACGCUUGAUAGUACGAAAACCAUUGUAGUAUCUAGUUCCUUUGCUCUAGGAGCCUAAUGACGCAGUACUGACAAAAGUUUUUUUUUUUCUAAUAAAUGCUACGUUCAAGUGCCAAGUCGGAACUAGGAAACUUAAAAAUGUCCGACCGGUGAACGCGAUACGUGUAUAACUUCAAACAGUUAACAAGUCUGAAAUAUCCGAAUUUCCAAGUUCCGACUGGUACAUGAACGCGGCAUAACCCUGUGGUAGGCUACCAUAACUCGAUUUCUUUCACGUCAUCAGUCCCGAACACACCGACUGCGUCAUUGCAUCAAUGCUGCAUAACAUUUUGCACAGCUAGGCGACUAUACUGAUGCAGGUAUCUUUUGCAGACGGUUAGACACAUGGAGGAGAGAAUCAUAAGAAUACUGUAGGAGGAAGUGGAGAGGACUCAGGGACAGGUAUCAGAGAGAGAGAGAAGGUCAGAGAAAGAUACAUCUACAUCAUCGUUCAUCUCUGCUGUGUGACCACCACCGGUGCAGCGAGACCCUCUACAACGUCUACAUCAUCGUUCAUCUCUGCUGUGUGACCACCACCGGUGCAACGAGACCCUCUACAACAUCUACAUCAUCGUUCAUCUCUGCUGUGUGACCACCACCGGUGCAGCGAGACCCUCUACAACGUCUACAUCGUCGUUCAUCUCUGCUGUGUGACCACCACCGGUGCAGCGAGACCCUCUACAACGUCUACAUCGUCGUUCAUCUCUGCUGUGUGACCACCACCGGUGCAGCGAGACCCUCUACAACGUCUACAUCGUCGUUCAUCUCUGCUGUGUGACCACCACUGGUGCAGCGAGACCCUCUACAACGUCUACAUCAUCAUUCAUCUCUGCUGUGUGACCACCACCGGUGCAGCCAUGGAAGAUGAUGAAAUGGAGGAAGCACCUCUGGAUCUGAGAUUGUGACCCUCGAGGAAUCAAGGAAAUGCAACUGAGAUUUUCCAACUGUCCUUAUUCCGCUUGCUUAUGUCCUUGUUAGUAGUUUCUCAAUACAUAGGAUAGCAUUCAUUGUUAGUUGUACAUAGAUUGCGUGAAAAUUGACUGAAUUGACACUGACACACCGGAGUGUGUGUUUACCUGUAUUGUGGCUACACAUUCACAGUUUUUUUUCAGACUCGCACACACCUCUCCUCCACUCCUCUCUGUACCUCAGAUCUCCAGUGCCCUGCCCUUUCCGUCUUUAUGGCCAUGUCGGAAGUUCCCCUACUACGUCUAGGCUUUAUGAGUAGUCCCUGUAUCUGUUUUCAGUUGUGCCAAAAAUACAUGCUCUUGUUGUUCUUACAGAUUACAGGUUACACAUUCGUUUUAGUAUUUUUACACACACACUUUCAAUAGUUUUUAUUUUUUGUAACAUUUUUACAACACACAUACCUGUCAUGUUCUUUCCUGUACUUGAAUAAUUAUUAAUUCUAAUGUUUUCAUA